AUGGGGGACUCGAAAGAUCUUUGGGAGUACAUUAGAGAAGCUUGUAGUUCGACUGUUCUGAAUGAUAAGAAAGAUGAGAUUAAGUGUACACUGACGAAAAAUGGAGUGUAUACAGUUAGGUAUUUCUACAGACAUUUGAUAGAAAAUGGUAUUAAAUAUCUACACUUAUAUAUGUGGAAAAUUAAAAUGCCACGUAGAGUUAAAGUCUUUAUGUGGCUAGCUCUCAGAAACAUCAUUCUCACAAAAGAUAAUCUGCUAUGCAGGGGGUAGAAAGGGGAUAAAAAAUGCCCAUUUUGUGGACAUGAUGAAAGCAUAAACCACCUUUUCUUUUCCUGUUUUGUAGCUCGUCUGCUGUGGAAUGUCUUAAAAUGUGCUUUUAAUUUGGCAGAGAUCCCAGAUGAUCUAGAUCUUAUAAUGAGAGCCUGGGUCAAGAAAUUCGGAAGAGAAGAGAGAUGA
RNAcentral lists this ribosomal RNA (456 nucleotides) under Triticum aestivum (bread wheat). Its description in RNAcentral is "partial small subunit ribosomal RNA". The record is from RNAcentral. Lineage: Eukaryota; Viridiplantae; Streptophyta; Magnoliopsida; Poales; Poaceae.